This 252-nucleotide ribosomal RNA is filed under the name uncultured bacterium. RNAcentral's name for it is "partial 16S ribosomal RNA". It matches the Rfam family "Bacterial small subunit ribosomal RNA", at positions 524 to 776 of the family's 1533-position model. The record is from RNAcentral.
UACGAAGGUCCCAAGCGUUAUCCGGAUUUAUUGGGUUUAAAGGGUGCGUAGGCGGACUGUUAAGUCAGUGGUGAAAGCUCCAUGCCUAACAUGGAAAUUGCCAUUGAUACUGACGGUCUAGAGUACAUUUGAAGUGGGCGGAAUGUGUCAUGUAGCGGUGAAAUGCUUAGAUAUGACACAGAACACCGAUUGCGUAGGCAGCUCACUAAACUGUAACUGACGCUGAGGCACGAAAGCGUGGGAGCAAACAGG